UAGACCAGUGAGCAUAGCUACAUCGGCAAGAGUGGGAGAAACAGGGCCGUAGCCAAAGACGAAGGCAUUAAGGGUAUCUGACCAAAAAUAAGACGCAGCUAUCAACAGUGACUCGUUCUUGUGCAUAUCGGCAAUAGAUAGCCUGAUGCAUUGGGCUAGCUUCCUUUCACCCCACUGGACUUCAUUUGAAUUGCUGACUCUCAAGAACCAGUCUUUCCACCCUACAGUAGGGCUGGGCCAAGAGCGAAAGGUGUCUUUCCACAGAUCUAAAGAAAAAUUUUCGGCUCUAAAGGGAAUCCUGUUGGUUUCUGCAUUGAUAAGGUCAGUUGGAUCUGGAUCCCCUAGAGGGCCGAGACAUUGGAGGUGUGGUUGAUCGGUGGGGAUGACAAUUUUGUUGGACAACUCCUAGUGUUUUGGGGAAUAAAAAAAAUACAAAGAAAAAGGAAAAGGGAGAUAUUCAGUAAGAUGAAUCGCGGAUGAACAGGAAUACGAGAAGAAUACAGGAGAUGAGAUGGAGAUCUGACCUCAGGGACGACGAAGCCAAUGGCCAUCUUGUCGUGAAGAGAACGUUUGAGGGCACC
RNAcentral lists this long non-coding RNA (581 nucleotides) under Sorghum bicolor (sorghum). RNAcentral's name for it is "long non-coding RNA (SBIC_LNC003434)". Lineage: Eukaryota; Viridiplantae; Streptophyta; Magnoliopsida; Poales; Poaceae. The record is from RNAcentral.